AGCCUAGUGAAGUUAUAGUAGGUAGUUCCUGCCCGUUGCAAUGUAGUGAAAGGCCGCAGUACCUUGACUGUGCUAAGGUAGCGAAAUCAGUAGACUUUUAAAUGGAGCCCAGAAUGAAAGGAAGCACGGAAGCUUACUGUUUCUUUUUAUAUACUAACUUUUUUAAAAGGUGAAAACACCUUUAAGACAGAUGAAAGACGAGAAGACCCUGGGACCUUUGAGUAAAACCUUUUUGUUGGGGCAACAUUAAAGAAUUCCUUUAUAAAGUUGUAUCUUGUCAAAUCAAGAAUGGAUAAGGUACCCCAGGGAUAACAGCAUAAUUAAGUUUUAGUUUAUGACCUCGAUGUUGGACUAGGAAUUCUAUGGCUAGACGCCUAAAAAAUAUUGUUCUGUUCGAACUUACUUUCCUACAU
Molecule: ribosomal RNA, 413 nt
Filed under: Pontohedyle sp. AB34500571
Lineage: Eukaryota; Metazoa; Mollusca; Gastropoda; Acochlidiacea; Microhedylidae
Description: partial 16S ribosomal RNA
Rfam family: Bacterial large subunit ribosomal RNA
Source: RNAcentral